Long non-coding RNA from Xiphophorus couchianus (Monterrey platyfish), 1146 nucleotides. RefSeq lists it as uncharacterized. The record is from RefSeq and is a predicted model, not a curated record. The transcript has 3 exons. Lineage: Eukaryota; Metazoa; Chordata; Actinopteri; Cyprinodontiformes; Poeciliidae.
GGAUCAGGAUCCAGUUUAACGACAGAGACUUAUCCAGAUCAUAGACAAAAUUAUUAAAACAUAUUUAUCUGCAGACCUUUGAGACUUUAAAGAUGGCCAAAGACUCACCUGAAACGAUUUAUCAAAAUGUUCAUACAAUUCCAAAAGCGAGAAAAAAGGAACCAUCAAAAACUUGUUCCAGCCGUCUGUUGUGUUUGUGGAUAAUUAGCUUCCUCCUGGUGGGAAGCAUUGCAGUCAACAUCUGGAUGUGUCUUCAGAUGUACAAACAGAAAGCAACUUUCCAGGAGCUGGAGAUGAAGAUGGGAAAAGUACAAAAUUACAGUGAAGUGCUGACUCAUGAGAAUAAUGACCUGAACUUAUGGCUGAACUUUUUUCUGAAAUUCAAAAAUGUUCAAGUCUCAAAAUACUGCAAUGGUGAAAGUGAGUUGGUAUCAUGUGACCUUCCUGAAAACAAAACAAAUUACUCCUAAUUGAUGCUGAAAGUCGCUCCGUCUCCCUGUUUGUUUCACGUUGACAGAGUGUCAGCCGUGUCAGGAAGGAUGGGUUGAGUUUCAGAAAAAGUGCUAUCUGUUUAUUGAUGAACAACCUUGGAAAACCUGGAAGGAAAGCGAUGAGCUCUGCAAAAGCAAAUCCGCAGAUCUGGUCGUUAUUGAUCACCUGCAAGAACAGGUGAGCUCUAGGACGGCUUCAUCUUCUAAAAUUACAUUUUUAACUUUUAAAAUAUAAUUGUAAUGAUUUUAACCCAAAUGACUUUCAGGAGUUUCUCAGUAAACAGAUUAAGUAUUACUAUGACGAAUAUCAUGGAUACUGGUUGGGCUUACGUGAAAUUAACAACAGAUGGGUGUGGACUGACGGACAUAAUGACACUCUUGGGUAAGAAAUUUUAAUUAAAAGUGAAAUAAACACAAGAAAUAACUAAGAUAAAACACCGACUGUUUGUCGUCACCUUCCUAAAAUAAUCACCGAAAUCCAUUUUUUGGGGAAAAACUUGAAUGAAUGUUUAAAUCAAGAUUAAAUCCACCUGGUCAGAGUUUAUAUUGAAACCAAAUAAUUAGAAAAUUGACCAGAGGUGGACAGAGCAGACAAAACGUUUACUCAAGUAAAAGUACAAAAGUAUUUGGUAAAAGUAACUGAUUAAAUUACCAA